Molecule: ribosomal RNA, 472 nt
Filed under: uncultured bacterium
Lineage: Bacteria
Description: bacterial SSU rRNA
Rfam family: Bacterial small subunit ribosomal RNA
Source: RNAcentral
GAGUUUGAUCCUGGCUCAGGAUGAACGCUGGCGGCGUGCCUAACACAGCAAGUCGAACGAUCCCUUCGGGGAUAGUGGCGCACGGGUGAGUAACGCGUAGCUAACCUGCCCCAAAGAGGAGGACAACAUCUGGAAACAGGUGCUAAUACUCCAUAAUCUCUUACGAGAAAAGCUUUCGCGCUUUGGGAUGGGGCUGCGAGCCAUCAGCUAGUUGGUGCGGUAAAGGCGCACCAAGGCGACGACGGCUAGGGGACCUGAGAGGGUGACCCCCCACACUGGAACUGAGACACGGUCCAGACUCCUACGGGAGGCAGCAGUGAGGAAUAUUGCACAAUGGGCGCAAGCCUGAUGCAGCGACGCCGCGUGGGCGAAGAAGGGUUUCGGCCUGUAAAGCCCUUUUCUGUGUGACGAGAAUGGACGGUAGCACAGGAAUAAGUCUCGGCUAACUACGUGCCAGCAGCCGCGGUAAUAC